Molecule: small RNA, 344 nt
Filed under: Pan troglodytes (chimpanzee)
Lineage: Eukaryota; Metazoa; Chordata; Mammalia; Primates; Hominidae
Description: processed transcript
Source: RNAcentral
CGAGAACCCGCUGGUUUAUUGCGACGGGCACGGCUGCAGCGUCGCGGUGCAUCAAGCUUGCUAUGGCAUUGUUCAAGUACCCACUGGACCAUGGUUUUGCAGGAAAUGUGAAUCUCAGGAGAGAGCAGCCAGAGUGGCUGGAGUGGAGUGGCGCAAUCAUUGCUCGCUGCAGCCUUGAAGUCCUGAGCUCAAGAGAUCCUCCUGCCGCAGCUUCCUGAGUAGCUGGGACUUACAGAGAUGUGAACUUUGUCCCCAUAAGGAUGGAGCUUUAAAAAGAACAGAUAAUGGGGGUUGGGCCCAUGUGGUUUGUGCCCUGUAUAUUCCAGAGGUACAAUUUGCCAAUG